UGAGUAGGCGGUUGUAUAUGUCAGGUGUAAAAGGCUAUGGCUUAACCAUGGUUAGCACUUGAAACUGUACGACUUGAGUGCAGGAGAGGUAAGUGGAAUUCCUAGUGUAGCGGUGAAAUGCGUAGAUAUUAGGAGGAACACCAGUGGCGAAGGCGACUUACUGGACUGUAACUGACGCUGAGUCACGAAAGCGUGGGUAGCAAACAG
This 207-nucleotide ribosomal RNA is filed under the name uncultured Eubacteriales bacterium. Its description in RNAcentral is "uncultured Clostridiales bacterium partial 16S ribosomal RNA". It matches the Rfam family "Bacterial small subunit ribosomal RNA", at positions 568 to 775 of the family's 1533-position model. The record is from RNAcentral. Lineage: Bacteria; Bacillati; Bacillota; Clostridia; Eubacteriales.